Molecule: ribosomal RNA, 548 nt
Filed under: uncultured bacterium
Lineage: Bacteria
Description: bacterial SSU rRNA
Rfam family: Bacterial small subunit ribosomal RNA
Source: RNAcentral
GCUUCCGGAGCUAACGCGUUAAGUCGACCGCCUGGGGAGUACGGCCGCAAGGUUAAAACUCAAAUGAAUUGACGGGGGCCCGCACAAGCGGUGGAGCAUGUGGUUUAAUUCGAUGCAACGCGAAGAACCUUACCUACUCUUGACAUCCAGAGAACUUUCCAGAGAUGGAUUGGUGCCUUCGGGAACUCUGAGACAGGUGCUGCAUGGCUGUCGUCAGCUCGUGUUGUGAAAUGUUGGGUUAAGUCCCGCAACGAGCGCAACCCUUAUCCUUUGUUGCCAGCGGUCCGGCCGGGAACUCAAAGGAGACUGCCAGUGAUAAACUGGAGGAAGGUGGGGAUGACGUCAAGUCAUCAUGGCCCUUACGAGUAGGGCUACACACGUGCUACAAUGGCGCAUACAAAGAGAAGCGACCUCGCGAGAGCAAGCGGACCUCAUAAAGUGCGUCGUAGUCCGGAUUGGAGUCUGCAACUCGACUCCAUGAAGUCGGAAUCGCUAGUAAUCGUAGAUCAGAAUGCUACGGUGAAUACGUUCCCGGGCCUUGUACACAC